Molecule: ribosomal RNA, 440 nt
Filed under: uncultured bacterium
Lineage: Bacteria
Description: partial 16S ribosomal RNA
Rfam family: Bacterial small subunit ribosomal RNA
Source: RNAcentral
CCUACGGGAGGCAGCAGUGGGGAAUAUUGCACAAUGGGGGGAACCCUGAUGCAGCGACGCCGCGUGAGUGAAGAAGUAUUUCGGGAUGUAAAGCUCUAUCAGCAGGGAAGAAAAUGACGGUACCUGACUAAGAAGCCCCGGCUAACUACGUGCCCGCAGCCGCGGUAAUACGUAGGGGGCAAGCGUUAUCCGGAUUUACGGGGGGGAAAGGGAGCGUAGACGGCAGAGCAAGUCGGAAGUGAAAGCCCGCGGCCCAACUGCGGGACUGCUUUGGAAACUGCCCGGCUAGAGUGCUGGAGAGGUAAGCGGAAUUCCUCGUGUAGCGGUGAAAUGCUUAGAUAUUAGGAGGACCCCCAGUGGCGACGGCGGCUUACUGGACAGUACCUGACGUUGAGGCUCGAAAGCGUUGGGAGCAAACAGGAUUAGAUACCCCAGUAGUC